Saimiri boliviensis boliviensis (Bolivian squirrel monkey) is the source of this 164-nucleotide small nuclear RNA. Its record names the gene U1. It matches the Rfam family "U1 spliceosomal RNA". From Rfam's summary of the family: U1 is a small nuclear RNA (snRNA) component of the spliceosome (involved in pre-mRNA splicing). NCBI's taxonomy places the organism in Eukaryota, Metazoa, Chordata, Mammalia, Primates, Cebidae. The record is from Ensembl.
ACACUUACCUGGCAGAGGAGAUACCAUGAUCACAAAGGUGGUUUUCCCAGGGCGAGGCUUAUCCAUUGCACUCUGGUUGUGCCGACCCCUGCGAUUUCUCCAAAUGUGGGAAACUCGACUGCAUAAUUUGUGGUAGUGGGGGACUGUGUUCAUGCUUUCCCCUG